This 896-nucleotide ribosomal RNA is filed under the name uncultured bacterium. RNAcentral describes it as "bacterial SSU rRNA". It matches the Rfam family "Bacterial small subunit ribosomal RNA", at positions 9 to 899 of the family's 1533-position model. The record is from RNAcentral.
GAGUUUGAUCCUGGCUCAGAGCGAACGUUGGCAGUGUGUCUUAAGCAUGCAAGUCGAACGGCAGCAGGCCAUAUAGCAAUAUAUGGUGCUGGCGAGUGGCGAACUGGUGAGUAACGCGUAAGAAUCUACCCUCUGGUGGGGGAUAACUCAUGGAAACAUGAGCUAAUACCGCAUGAAGCCGAACCCAUAGUGAUAUGAGCUUGGUAAAAGGAGAAAUCCGCCAGUGGAUGAGCUUGCGUCCCAUUAGCUAGUUGGUAGGGUAAGAGCCUACCAAGGCGAUGAUGGGUAGCUGGCCUGAGAGGGUGGUCAGCCACACUGGGACUGAGAUACGGCCCAGACUCCUACGGGAGGCAGCAGCUAAGAAUCUUCCUCAAUGGGGGAAACCCUGAAGGAGCGACACUGCGUGCAGGAUGAAGGCCCUUUGGGUUGUAAACUGCUUUUGUAGGGGAGAAAUAACCGAAUGGGAUGAUAGUACCCUACGAAUAAGUCCCGGCUAACUACGUGCCAGCAGCCGCGGUAAAACGUAAGGGGCGAACGUUGCUCGGAAUUACUGGGCGUAAAGGGCCGGUAGGUGGCUUUAUAAGUCAGUUGUCAAAUACCCAUGCUCAACGUGGGAGAGGCGACUGAUACUGUAGAGCUUGAGUAGAGGAGGGGAUGACGGAAUACCCGGUGUAGGGGUGAAAUCUGUUGAUAUCGGGUAGAACACCGAUGGCGAAAGCGGUCAUCUAGCCUCAUACUGACACUCAACGGCGAAAGCCAGGGGAGCGAACGGGAUUAGAUACCCCGGUAGUCCUGGCCAUAAACGAUGCAUGCUAAGUAUUGGCACCGCGUUGGUGAUAGUACCGUAGCUUACGCGUUAAGCAUGCCGCCUGGGGAGUAUGCUCGCAAGAGUGAAA